GCUGGGCAUGUGCUCGCUUCGGAAUGAUACAGAGAAGGUUAGCAUGGCCCCUGCACAAGGAUGACAUGCAAAUUCGUGAAGCAUUCCAUAUUUAU
This 95-nucleotide small nuclear RNA is filed under the name Aotus nancymaae (Ma's night monkey). Lineage: Eukaryota; Metazoa; Chordata; Mammalia; Primates; Aotidae. The record is from RNAcentral.